GGGGUUGAGGCUCAGAGGUAGAGUGCUUGCCUAGCAUGCAUGAGGCACUGGGUUUGAUCCUCAGCACUACA
This 71-nucleotide transfer RNA is filed under the name Marmota monax (woodchuck). RNAcentral's name for it is "tRNA.Ala". Lineage: Eukaryota; Metazoa; Chordata; Mammalia; Rodentia; Sciuridae. The record is from RNAcentral.